UACGGGGGGGGGCAAGCGUUGUUCGGAAUUACUGGGCGUAAAGGGCUCGUAGGCGGCCAACUAAGUCGGAUGUGAAAUCCCCAAGCUUAACUUGGGAACUGCAUCCGAUACUGGAUGGCUUGAAUCCGGGAGAGGGAUGCAGAAUUCCAGGUGUAGCGGUGAAAUGCGUAGAUAUCUGGAGGAAUACCGGUGGCGAAGGCGGCAUCCUGGACCGGCAUUGACGCUGAGGAGCGAAAGCUAGGGGAGCAAACAGG
This 254-nucleotide ribosomal RNA is filed under the name uncultured bacterium. Its description in RNAcentral is "partial 16S ribosomal RNA". It matches the Rfam family "Bacterial small subunit ribosomal RNA", at positions 524 to 776 of the family's 1533-position model. The record is from RNAcentral.